RNAcentral lists this long non-coding RNA (1058 nucleotides) under Anas platyrhynchos platyrhynchos (common mallard). RNAcentral describes it as "lncRNA (ENSAPLG00000030474.1)". Lineage: Eukaryota; Metazoa; Chordata; Aves; Anseriformes; Anatidae. The record is from RNAcentral.
UUAGUCAACAGUUCAGUAGUUAUAAAUCUAGAUGUAGAGCAAAAACAGUGAAUAUAGGCUUCACCUUUUUCUAAAUGGAUGUUUCUUUCAUACCUGCAGUAAGACAGAAGAGAAGGAUUGUGUACUGCAUUUCUAGUUUAAGAUCUUCACGGUAUUUUCACUGAAGGCAUUUGCGACGGUUCUGCAGCUAAAUAACAUUAAACCUUGGUGUGUGAAAUGACCUUGAUGUACUGCACCAGCUUCACACUCAAUCAGUGGAGAAAAAAUAAAAAUAAAAAAAAAAUAGUGUGAAUGUGUCAGAUAAAGAUGUUCCAAUCUGCUUUAAUCCUGACUCCAGUUACCCAGAAACUGUCUAUCCAGUUGUAUGUGAAAACCUGGAGUAACGGCUAUUGAGCCAAAUUUCAUCAUCUGCCAGGCUGCUCAGGCCAAGAGGCAGCAGGAAGCUGUUGACAAUGGAGAGAGGCCCCAAGACAGGCCAUAAUAGCACAAGCCAAGUGCUAGGAAUUUAGCAGCUGAGAGAAGAUGAGCAACAAGACAAAAAUGUUAUCCUGGCAAGGAAGUGCUCAAGGAUGUAAUUAACAAUGGGUGGCACAGAAAGGUGUGGGGCUUUCCUGUCCCAUGGUGUCUGUCUUGUGGAAGUUCAGCCUUCACAGUUCCUGGGGAAGUUGUGUCACAGCUGAGAGCCAUGUCUCUGCAAGGGCAAACCAUGCCACAUGGGCAGCAAUUUUCUAGUGCUCCCUUUCUAAAGCUGAGGCCACCUUCAUGCUUUAGUUUUAAAGCAUGGCUGACAAGAUAAUUUAUCUCAUAUUUUUACUAGUGCAGUUUUUCAGCCAUUUUUUUUAUUGCAAGUUAUAAUUUAAUUUGUGUAUCUCUGAAAAAAAUGUUUUGAAUUCCUCGUGGUAGUCAAGAUCUUUUUCAGUCUAUUUUUUAACCAUUUUUAAAUUGUAUUGCCUCUUUGGUAAAUAUCAGUAAUUUAAUAUUUAUGGAUUUUGUUCUUUUACAUAUAAAUGUUUCUCCUAGGAUUAAGCUUGAAAUAAAUUGCUUCAUGUUGUUACCCA